AACAAACUGAAACAAAAGAGUUGAAAAUUCAUAAACCGAGUUCCAUAAAAGAACAAACUAAUCUACAAUGGCUAAACAUUCAGAAAACAGACUUCUUCAUCUCAGUUUUUCCAAAGGAAAAUCCUUCAAAUAACUGCGAGGAGGAAAAUACCGCUUUACGAUUCCAAUUGAUGAAAAAAACGAAUUUCUCGAAUAAUUUCAAUUCGUUGAAUGAUAAAAAAACUUUUCAUCAAACUCAGUCGAGUUUGGUCCAUUAAGCAAUUACCCGAAUGCAUUAUUCGGUCCAAAAGUGUCGUUACGAGUUGGAAAUUUAUUGAAAAAGUUGAUCAAAAAGAUGCAAACACUACUUCGUUACCGGCCUCAAUGAAGAUUCCACGCGAAAAACGAUUUCGAUUCUUCAAAAAACCAAAUACGAUCGAAACUCGUAAAAAAACCGAAAAAACGCUGCUUUUAUACAGAAAAUAAAAGAAGGAUUAUUACUCAAGAUUUCUGUGAAAACACGUACCGUGUGCGACUGUCGACGGGAAGUGGAACACUGCUCGAUGCGAGCUCGCAGAGUUACUUAUUAUUGUGUCAGAAAGGUCGGUUAUUACAUGAUCUACUAAUCGCACAGUACCGCAUCCCCUCUUUUCCUCACGAACACUGUUACAAAAAUACACUUUGCAGCGUGCCUCCAGUCGAGCUGGACGAAUGUUUGUGUACGCGAUAUCCACGAGCGCUGUUCGAUGUAUCACACCGUUCAGUGAAGAGAAAUAUGUAGUUAAAAUUAAUUAAAAACACGCACAGUCGAUGUACGUGUAUCGACUAAUUUGCUGACGUGUGAUGAGUUUCGAAUUGUGUCUGUAUACGAUCUUUACGAGUACAUUUUUACGCUGAGUAUCAGCCACUUUAUCACUCAUCGUUGGCUCUAACGAUUCCCUUGGCAGUACUGAUUCAUUUGAUGAUAAUGAUUCGUGAAAGAGAACUAAAAAGUUCAAUAUGAUACGGUAUCUGCGCGUAUUUACAGUCGUCAAGGUCUCCAUCCAUUCCCCAACGAUAUAGGACUCGCUUAUCCUCGCGCUGACACACCGCAAACGACACGUAACUUCGUAGAAGUUAUUAUCAUUGUUAGUUUUCAUGAUAUAACUGGAUUCUACACUUAGUAACAAGGAGUGAUGUUUACGUGUCGAUCGCUGGCAGCAUAUCGAUUACGAAGCCACUUAAACCAAAUCCAUAUCAAUAGCAAUUCUCUUAUAUCUGAAAAAUCGAAUGAUUUUUAUCGAGUCGAAAAGGACUUAGCAAAUUUCAUUACACUUGGUCAGAGUUUGGAUCAUCAAAGUCACGAAACUCAAUGAUGAAUUUAGUUUUGUAAAAAACGUGAGAGGGCUAAUGUACUUUUGUUCCAAUAUUUCGAUAAUUUGUUUUCUUUUUUUGAGUAUUCUUCUGAAUAAAUUGACAGUUGGAAUAUUUCUAUAA
This is a long non-coding RNA of Venturia canescens, 1455 nucleotides long. RefSeq lists it as uncharacterized. The record is from RefSeq and is a predicted model, not a curated record. Lineage: Eukaryota; Metazoa; Arthropoda; Insecta; Hymenoptera; Ichneumonidae. The transcript has 2 exons.